UCGGACGUGGUGCACGGUGCACGCCACUACUUGUAGGCAAAUAUCCAUUAAAUUGUGUGGAAAGCCUGGGUUCGACUCCCAGCGUCCGAA
Molecule: non-coding RNA, 90 nt
Organism: Mycena capillaripes
Lineage: Eukaryota; Fungi; Basidiomycota; Agaricomycetes; Agaricales; Mycenaceae
Source: the annotation of a GenBank genome assembly